CCUACGGGUGGCAGCAGUGGGGAAAAUUGCACAAUGGGCGGAAGCCUGAUGCAGCGACGCCGCGUGAGGGAUGACGGCCUUCGGGUUGUAAACCUCUUUCAGCAGGGACGAAGCGCAAGUGACGGUACCUGCAGAAGAGGCGCCGGCCAACUACGUGCCAGCAGCCGCGGUAAGACGUAGGGCGCGAGCGUUGUCCGGAUUUAUUGGGCGUAAAGAGCUCGUAGGCGGCUUGUCGCGUCGACUGUGAAAACCCACAGCUCAACUGUGGGCUUGCAGCCGAUACGGGCAGGCUAGAAUUCGGUAGGGGAGACUGGAAUUCCUGGUGUAGCGGUGAAAUGCGCAGAUAUCAGGAGGAACACCGGUGGCGAAGGCGGGUCUCUGGGCCGAUAUUGACGCUGAGGAGCGAAAGCGUGGGGAGCGAACAGGAUUAGAUACCCCAGUAGUC
RNAcentral lists this ribosomal RNA (445 nucleotides) under uncultured bacterium. Its description in RNAcentral is "bacterial SSU rRNA". It matches the Rfam family "Bacterial small subunit ribosomal RNA", at positions 338 to 795 of the family's 1533-position model. The record is from RNAcentral.